RNAcentral lists this ribosomal RNA (534 nucleotides) under Sawadaea polyfida. RNAcentral describes it as "eukaryotic LSU rRNA". It matches the Rfam family "Eukaryotic large subunit ribosomal RNA", at positions 102 to 651 of the family's 3401-position model. Lineage: Eukaryota; Fungi; Ascomycota; Leotiomycetes; Helotiales; Erysiphaceae. The record is from RNAcentral.
UAACAGCUCAAAUUUGAAAUCUGGCCCCCUCGGGGCCCGAGUUGUAAUUUGUAGAAGAUGCUUUGGGUGUGGGCCCGGCCUAAGUUCCUUGGAACAGGACGUCGUAGAGGGUGAGAAUCCCGUAUGCGGCUGGUGCCCUCGCCCGUGUAAAGCUCUUUCGACGAGUCGAGUUGUUUGGGAAUGCAGCUCUAAAUGGGUGGUAAAUUUCAUCUAAAGCUAAAUAUUGGCCAGAGACCGAUAGCGCACAAGUAGAGUGAUCGAAAGAUGAAAAGCACUUUGGAAAGAGAGUUAAACAGUACGUGAAAUUGUUGAAAGGGAAGCGCUGGCAACCAGACUUGGGCGCUGCUGAUCCGCGGGGGUUCUCCCCCGGGCACUCGGCGGCGCGCAGGCCAGCAUCGGUUUGGGUGGCUGGAGAAAGGCUGGUGGAAUGUAGCUGCCCUCGGGCAGUGUUAUAGCCACCGGUGGCAUGCAGCCCACCCGGACCGAGGACCGCGCUUCGGCUAGGAUGCUGGCGUAAUGGUUGUCAGCGACCCG